This 10319-nucleotide unclassified non-coding RNA is filed under the name Anthonomus grandis grandis. Its description in RNAcentral is "e3 SUMO-protein ligase KIAA1586-like". The record is from RNAcentral. Lineage: Eukaryota; Metazoa; Arthropoda; Insecta; Coleoptera; Curculionidae.
AAUCCGUUCACUAGAAGUCAAGAUAAUGGAAUUUUUAGUCCAGGAGUGCCUGGAAGAAAUAAAAUAAUUUGUCUCUUAUUGGCAAGUGAAUAUCUCGAGUUCUAGUGGUUGGAAUCUUGUAACUAUUGAUUUCUGAGAUACUUUAGGCCUUUUUACGUGUUUUCUGAAAAAAUCAUUCAAAUCCCUUCAUUAGAAGUCAAGAUAUUGAAAUUCUUAGUCCAGGAGUGCCUGGAAGAAAUAAAAUAAUUUGUCUCUUAUUGGCAAGUGAAUAUCUUGAGUUCUACGGGUUGGAAUCUUGUAAUUAUUGAUUUCUGAGAUACUUUAGGGCUUUUUAAGUGUUUUCUGAAAAAAUCAUUCAAAUCCCUUCAUUAGAAGUCAAGAUAUUGAAAUUCUUAGUCCAGGAGUGCCUGGAAGAAAUAAAAUAAUUUGUCUCUUAUUGGCAAGUGAAUAUCUUGAGUUCUACGGGUUGGAAUCUUGUAAUUAUCGAUUUCUGAGAUACUUUAGGGCUUUUUAAGUGUUUUCUGAAAAAAUCAUUAAAAUCCGUUCAUUAAAAGUCAAGAUAUUGAAAUUCUUAGUCCAGGAGUGCCUGGAAGAAGUAAAAUAAUUUGUCUCUUAUUGGCAAGUGAAUAUCUUGGGUUCUAGUGGUUGGAAUCUUGUAAUUAUUGAUUCCUGAGAUACUUUAGGCCUUUUUAAGUGUUUUCUGAAAAAAUCAUUCAAAUCCGUUCAUUAGAGGUCAAGAUAAUGGAAUUCAUAGUCCAGGAGUGCCUGGAAGAAAUAAAAUAAUUUGUCUCUUAUUGGCAAGUGAAUAUCUCGAGUUCUAGUGGUUGGAAUCUUGUAACUAUUGAUUUCUGAGAUACUUUAGGCCUUUUUAAGUGUUUUCUGAAAAAAUCAUUCAAAUCCGUUCAUUAGAGGUCAAGAUAAUGGAAUUCAUAGUCCAGGAGUGCCUGGAAGAAAUAAAAUAAUUUGUCUCUUAUUGGCAAGUGAAUAUCUCGAGUUCUAGUGGUUGGAAUCUUGUAACUAUUGAUUUCUGAGAUACUUUAGGCCUUUUUAAGUGUUUUCUGAAAAAAUCAUUCAAAUCCGUUCAUUAGAGGUCAAGAUAAUGGAAUUCAUAGUCCAGGAGUGCCUGGAAGAAAUAAAAUAAUUUGUCUCUUAUUGGCAAGUGAAUAUCUCGAGUUCUAGUGGUUGGAAUCUUGUAACUAUUGAUUUCUGAGAUACUUUAGGCCUUUUUAAGUGUUUUCUGAAAAAAUCAUUCAAAUCCGUUCAUUAGAGGUCAAGAUAAUGGAAUUCAUAGUCCAGGAGUGCCUGGAAGAAAUAAAAUAAUUUGUCUCUUAUUGGCAAGUGAAUAUCUCGAGUUCUAGUGGUUGGAAUCUUGUAACUAUUGAUUUCUGAGAUACUUUAGGCCUUUUUAAGUGUUUUCUGAAAAAAUCAUUCAAAUCCGUUCAUUAGAGGUCAAGAUAAUGGAAUUCAUAGUCCAGGAGUGCCUGGAAGAAAUAAAAUAAUUUGUCUCUUAUUGGCAAGUGAAUAUCUCGAGUUCUAGUGGUUGGAAUCUUGUAACUAUUGAUUUCUGAGAUACUUUAGGCCUUUUUAAGUGUUUUCUGAAAAAAUCAUUCAAAUCCGUUCACUAGAAGUCAAGAUAAUGGAAUUCAUAGUCCAGGAGUGCCUGGAAGAAAUAAAAUAAUUUGUCUCUUAUUGGCAAGUGAAUAUCUCGAGUUCUAGUGGUUGGAAUCUUGUAACUAUUGAUUUCUGAGAUACUUUAGGCCUUUUUAAGUGUUUUCUGAAAAAAUCAUUCAAAUCCGUUCAUUAGAGGUCAAGAUAAUGGAAUUCAUAGUCCAGGAGUGCCUGGAAGAAAUAAAAUAAUUUGUCUCUUAUUGGCAAGUGAAUAUCUUGAGUUCUAGUGGUUGGAAUCUUGUAAUUAUUGACUUCUGAGAUACUUUAGGGCUUUUUAAGUGUUUUCUGAAAAAAUCAUUCAAAUGGUCUGUGGGAGCCUUUUCGGUGUCCUUAAGUGACCUGAAAUGUAGAGUUAACUCCUAGAAAUUUCCGGGUUUUGCGAGCAGUUGCCAGUAGUACUGCCUUUUACAUGUGCUUAUAUAGAUGUUCCCCAGUUGUUCCUAGUUGCUUAAGGUAUUCCAGUAGACUCUUUGGUAUUACACCCGUUGUCGAUAUAACAUUCUCCAUUGCCUUUCGAUUUCAGUUUCUAGAUGUCUUUAUUUGGCGAUUUUCUCAGUGUGUUUCUCUUGCAGAUUAUUGUUGUUCGGUAUGGCUUCAAGUCAAUUAGAGUGUUGUUUUCCUGAAAAUUUUAUCUAUUAAAAUAAGAUCUGGUCUAUUAUGCCUUACAUGUUGAUCGGUAAGUACACUGCGGUCCCAAUAUAACUUAUAUCGGUCAUUUUCCACUACGGGUUCUGGACUAUAUUUAUAAUACGGAACCUUCUCUGUUGUAAUAAGUUCCAACUUCAUUGCCAACCCUUGAUGUAAAAUUUUCCCAACUGAGUCUUUGUAUUCUGUCGCUGCAAAGGCCUGACAUCCUCCUGUUAUGUGCCGGAUUGUCUCUGAUGUUUGGCAUCCAUACCGGCAUUUGUCGUUUUGUACGGACGGAUCUCUCACGAUGUGCUUGAGAUAAUUUCUUGUUGGUAUAACCUGAUCUUGGAUGCCUUGGUUUCUGGAAACAUUUUGCCUGAUACCAACCAAUAGUUCGAUCUCAUUAGGAUGCCGUCCAUGAAGGGGCUUCUCCUGGUCCGUAUGAUGGUAGCUGCGCGCUUCCUCGCUCUUAAGUUGUAGAGAAGUAGAAUCGUCUAUUUGAUUUAUUGCGCGAUGCAGCGUGGAAUUUUCUCCUUGCCUCUAAAAAUAGGAUCUUAAGUUAGUGAUUUGUUUUUCAAAUUGUUUACCCAGAUCUAUUAAUCCUCUUUCUCCAAGGUGGCGGGGGAGCAUUGUUCUUUCAGUGGCACUUCGAGGGUAGUAGGGAGGGGUCCUCACUUUUCUUUGUAGCCUUUCUAUGUCUGUCCUACUCCAAUUAAUUACCCCAAAAGAAUAACUAAGAGCUGAACAUGCGUAGGAGUUAAGUGCCUUAAACAUAUUUUUGCUGUUCUCAAAACUUGUCUUACCCUUUUUACAAACUCGUUAGUCGGUUCGCAUAUCAUUGUUUGUUGUUCAAUCGUUUGUGAUUGUUUCAUCCCCAAGUAUUUGUAAAUGGCCUCGAGGGUCUGGACAUUCUGCAUCUGAUAUUCUCCUGGCUGAAUUUUUCCUCGGAUUAUAUUGAGAGUACGGCGGCAUUUAUCUAGUCCAAGUUGCAUGCCGAUGUCGUUGGAGGAGAACUCUUCUACUAUCUGCAGCAUUUGGUCAUGCAACAGAUCGAGGGUUUUGCAAACGAUCCGGUCUACUUGGGUCAGUGGUCCUUGGUCCGCUGGUCGAGCGGUUUCCAUUACGGAAUAAAUGGUAUUCUCCGCUUGAUCCAGGGUCCAGUUGAACAAACUGUUUGAGCCCUAUAAUUUAGAAAGUUAUUCAUUAAAUAACAUUGAAAGUCGAAAAACUCAUCCAUUAUCCCAAAGAUGCUGGGCAUACACUUUUUGUAGUCUGAGCGUUUAAGCGAUGUAGGAAUAAAGCCACAAUCUCCCAAUAACAAUUAUAUUUACAAAUAUCCCAAACAAUAACUUUGAAUAAAUAAUAAUUCUUAAUUUAUGCAAGUCUUAUCACUUCGAGUCGAACCAAUAUAUCUAUUCUCUUUUGUUAUCUCGCCCUGCGAAAUAUAUUAAAGAAUGUGACGCUCGCCUGAGUUAUUCCAAAAACAUCCGAUCAGGUGAGUCAUGUCGUUGAAUAUUUUAAGUUUCAGAGGUGGAUUAGGAAGGGUAGUACGUCAUUUUAUAAAAGGUAAAAAACACGAAAUCUACAGCAUCACAAAUACAUUUAAUAAAAUAACGUGUAUAAAAGUGUAUGCCCAGCAUCUUUGGGAUAAUGGAUGAGUUUUUCGAGUUAAAUAAUGCUAAUCAAGCUUCACUCAUCCGCCUCUACCAGAAAAACCUUAUCUCAAGGAAGAAUUACCUACUGAAGAUAUGGUUUAUUCAACAAUGCUUGCUUUUUCACCUUACGCCAAAUUUCGUUUCUUUGCGAUGCAAAACAAGGACUCAUGCAGGUAGAAAAGCCUUAGACCUGGCGAGAAAAUCAUGGUUGAAAGAAGAAAUCAAAGACCACUACAGGAACUUAAACAACGUCAAUGUAAAAUUAAAGUUUUUAUUUUUCAAACUUAACAACUUAUUACAUUAUGCGGAAUUUAUUUAUUUGGAUUGUAAAUUCAGAGAUGAAGUAACAACUUUCGGCUCUACUACUUUUAAUAGAUUACACAAGAAACUUAGUAACCUUAAAAACAAAUAUAUAACUUCACUUAGACUCAAUGAUUUCCACGAAUAUCGCAUAAGAAAUUUUAGUCAUGUUUUUCACGAUAGAUUUAUGAACCUUAGUGAUGUUUCUUUUUCUGAAGUCGAAUUAAAAUUUCUUAACAACAAUUUAAAAUUUAAUCUUCCUACCAGAACCGACCGAUGUGUUAGGGAAACAUUGGCUGUAGAGGCUGAAAAUGCUCUACAGUCAACGGAUAUAUCAAAUAAGAACAUUUUAAGAGCAAGAAUAAUUUCCUUUUUAAAUCAAAAUUGUUUCCUUAACAAUAAACAGAGAAUAAAUCAAAACAACAACAAAAUAUUAAGAUCUAUAAAAAAGAAAAUGAGGGACAACGAUAUAGUUUUCACAAAAGCCGAUAAGGGAUCAUGCUUACUUGCCUUAAAAAGAGACGAUUACAUAAAUAAAGUAAUGGAUUUUCUAAACACAGAAGACUUUGAAAAGGUCGACAGAGAUCCGACAGGUCCAUUCUUUAAUAAAUUAAAAAAAGUCUUAGACAUGACCUUGGUAACCUUAGAAUAUUUUAAUUCUACAAAACAAAAACUAUAUCCCAUGAACCCUAAAACACCUCUAUUAUAUGGGUUGCCAAAAGUCCAUAAAACUAGCAUGCCAAUUAGACCUGUGGUUUCCUUUGUUGACUCCCCUUGUUACCAGUUAUCAUCUUGGCUUAACAACGUUCUUAGAAAUGUCUCAAACUUCAAAGCACCAUAUUCUGUAACAAAUUCAGUGAAUUUUGCCAAAAGCAUUCAGAAUGUUCACGUUCCAGAUACAGCCCAGCUUAUAUCGCUAGACGUGAAAAACUUAUUUCCAAACAUUCCACCCGCUGAUUGUCUGGUCUUAGUCAAAGAUCUUCUCAGGGGGAAACUUGAUUCACUUUUGGUGGAAAAUCUACUUUUGCUUCUUUCUACUGUGUUAGAUCAAAAUUUUUUCCAAUUUAACAACCGUUUUUUCAAACAAAAAGAAGGUCUAGCAAUGGGCUGUUCUUUAUCGCCAUUUCUUAGUGAAGUAUUUCUUAGCAACUUAGAAACAAAAAUAAUGAGCAGUAAUUUUAAAAAUAACAUCAUCUUUUAUAAACGGUAUGUGGAUGAUAUAUGUUUGAUUUGGAAUGGAAGUGAGGUAGAGCUUACAAAUUUCCAUAAUUAUGUCAACUCUCUUCACUCUAAAAUUGAGUUCACAAUCGAACGGGAACAGAACAACACCUUACCAUUCUUAGAUUUAUUACUUAAGAGGGAAAGAAAUAAGAUAUCCUUUGAAAUAUUUCGUAAACAAGCAACAACAGAUAAUAUUAUACAAUAUAAUUCAACAUCACCGUCCUCACAUAAAUUUGCUGCUUUUCAUUCUUUAUUUUACAGACUUUUUAACAUUCCACUUUCUCGUGAAGCUUUUAAAAAAGAAUUCCUUACCAUUAAACAACUAGCAGUCAGUAACUUUUUUCCCUCUUAAACCUAUAUAUAAAAUGUAUUUUCAAUAUGUGAACAAGUAUAAAUUAUCAUUUAAUUUUAUCAGACAACAAACAAACAAUAUCAAAACUUUUAGGUCGUUUACUUAUUUUGGACCAAUUUCGUCACAAUUAUCCCGCUUUUUUUCUCCCUUUGGCAUAACCGCAGCUUUUAAAACCAAUAAUACCUUAAAUAGACAUCUAAUUAAAACUAAAGAUAAACUAGCCCCGCUAUCUUCUCCAGGAGUUUAUGAGAUUAGGUGUAAAGAGUGCCCUGCAGUGUACGUCGGCCAGCAGUGCUGCCAGAUGUAACAUAAUUAUCGAAUUGUAACAUAAUUUAUCCUUAAAAUUGAACUGAAAUAUUACUUGUACCAUAUUCGAUAAUUGUAACAUAAUUUCACUAGAAAAUAAUUCAAAACGUUAAAAUACAUUUCAAACUUAAUAAACUACCAAGAGAGUUUAGGAUUUUUACCAUAACGUGAGUUAUAUUAUUGGCAAAAUGUAUAUGUAUACCAUCUAUCUAUUAUAGGCAUCUACCCAUUAUAUUUCCUCCCUACUAGCUAUUUUUCAAUUAUUUAUCCGAACUUCAAACCGAUAACGCCAUCUCUGGUGCAAGUUCAAGACCAAAUCAAUCAAAUCCAAAUCUUUAAACGGCGCUCGGCGUGGGCUCCGCUCCGCCGGUAACGAGUUGUGGGAAUCACCGAACAGAACGUCAAAUAAAAAUAAAAUCAUACAUAUUAAAGCCUACGGUAGAGAGCUAUAACUUUUUCACUGUGUAAUUGGUAAUAUUAUAAUUGAAACGUGUAAAAUGAACGCUGCAACUACGUCAAAAUAUUCUUCUGAUUCGGACUCGGAAUCUGAAGCAAACAUCAAUAGGAAACGUUUUAAAAACAUGCAAAGACGGGAAACUAGACCUCAGCAAUACAGGGUAGAAUGGGAAAAUCUUUAUAAGGCGUGGUUAAAACCUGUUAAAGAUAAUCCUCUACGGGCAAGGUGCAUUACAUGUAACACUGAUUUCCAAGCUGAUAUUACAGUCAUCAAAAAUCACGGCAAGGGCGUUAAACACAUGAAGCUUGUAAAGGGACUGGCAUCAAAUCAACCUAAAAUCGAUUCUUCAUUUUUUAAAAAGAAUGAGGCUCAAGAUCAAGUUUCCCAAGCAGAGAUCAAAGUAGCCGCUUUUAUUUCUGAGCAUAACUUAUCUAUGAAACUGUCAGAUCAUUUAGUGCCCCUUAUGAAAAAUAUGUUUCCUGACUCCAGAAUUGCCAAAGACAUGCAAAUGGGAAGAACCAAAUGUACCGGCAUUAUUAAGAACGUUUUGGGGAAAUGUUGUUUUGAGGAGCUUGUAGAAGAGCUAAGGUAUAAAAGGUUUAGUUUUUUAAUAGACGAAUCUACAGAUAUAAGCAGCGUAAAAAAUAUGUGUGUUUGCGUGCGGUACUUUUCUUCAAAAUGUCAAAAAGUUGUAACUAGAUUUUUUAGUUUAGUGCAAUGUUUUUCUGGCAAAAAUGCUGAUGAAGCAAAUACUGGUGCUACGGCUGAGGUAAUAUACAACAAGCUUAUUGCUGUAUUUACAUCAUCCGGGUUACCCUUAGAAAAUAUCAUAGGCUUUGGUUCGGACGGCUGCAACACAAUGUUUGGGUCAAAAAAUUCUGUUGUUACUCGAUUAGAACUUAACUUCCCUGGAAUAGUUAUUCAAAAAUGUAUAUGUCAUUCUCUCCAUUUAUGCGCCAGUGAAGCAUGUAAAGUUCUUCCACGGCACUGUGAAGACUUAGCUAGGAAUAUUUUUAGUUUUUUUAAACACAGUAGCAAAAGGCAAGCUCAGCUUUUAGAAUUUCAAGAAUUUUGUCAAGUUGAGCCUCACAAAAUUUUGCGGCCUUCGCAGACUAGGUGGUUUUCACUGCUCAUGGUAGUUAACAGAAUUAUUGAGCAGUGGAUUAUCCAUUACAGCUAUAUUUUACCCAGCAGUGGAUUGGACAUAGAUUACUAGCAUCCGAAACCAUAGCCAAUAGGUUAGGUGACAGUGAAACUAAACUUUUUUUUUAUUUUCUCCAAUGGAUUCUUCCAAAAUUUGUCGAAUUAAACAUUUAUUUUCAAAACGAACAAGUAGUUAUAACAACAGUUUAUACUAAAAUGUGCGAAACUUUUAAAUUUCUUUUGUUGGCCUUUUUAAAACCCAAUUAUGUCCAUCAAACAGAAUUGCAAAACAUAGAUCCAUCUAACGAUAAAUAUUUUAUAGAGUUAAACCAAGUAUAUCUUGGUAUUAAGGUAAUGGAAAAUAUUAAUAAACUAAAUCAGCAACAACAAGAUGACUUCCUCAUCCGAUGUCGUCAAUUUUUAAUAGUAUCUGCUAUGGAGAUGAAAAAAAGGUUUAAUUUCAAUGAUAGUAUCUUAUCUAACUUAGCUAUAUUUGAUAAGAAUUAUUGUAAGCCAAGACCUCAGUCUCUUAUAGGGGUAAUAAACUUACUACCUAGAAUUAUAGAUCCUCAAGAUACCGACAAAAAACAAAAAAUUGAUGACCAGUGGAGGCUAUAUUGUCAGUGCCUAAAUGAGUUUGAUGAGGAUAUUAAAAAUGAAAAUAACAUUGACAAAUAUUGGUAUAAAAUAUCUAUAAAGAAAGACCUUUUAGACUCCAAACCAUAUGCAGAUUUAGGCGCAUUUGUUUUGGAUAUCCUUAUUUUACCCCAUUCCAAUGCAGAUUGUGAACGGGUUUUCUCUAAGGUAAAUCUCAUUAAAACUGAUACGCGUAAUAGUUUGUGCACUAAAACUAUAAAUGCACUACUUUUAUCAUCACAGCGCGCUCAUGGUGAAUGCUAUAAUUUUGAUGUUACUCAAAAAAUGACAAAGUCUAUGAUAUCAAAUAUAAUAUAUAAGAAGGAUGGUGAAGAAGAUAUUAAUAUUUCAUUUGAAUAAUGACUUUUGUGUUAACAUUUUUUUCUUGUACCUAAUUUCUGGUUUAAAUUUCAUACAUAAUAUCAAAAUAUAUAAGUUAAAUUUAUAUUUGUUGGGGUUUUAUUUAAUACUAACUGUUUUUUACUAACGACGCAAUUUUUUUAUUUCCAUUCCUCAAUACUCUCUCUUAGAAAAAUAAGUUCCGGAUUGUAACAUAUUUUUCGAGAAAAUCCGAUAAUUUUGACAACGUCGCUCGAUAAUUUCAUACGUCACAUCUGGCAGCACUGGUCGGCCAGUCUGGUAGGAAGAUUUCUACUAGGAUUAGUGAACACAAGGCCCAAUACAAUAAAUUUAAAAAUACCGAAAUCACAGUGACCAGAUCAGCUUUUGCUAAUCACCUUCUCGACUCCAGACAUGAUUUUCCUGACAGCCAAAAUAUAAAAAUACUGCAUCAAUGCAACAAAAGUAAAAAACUAGACUUGUUGGAGACAAUGGAGGUUAGUAAAGCUUUUAAAAGCCCAGAUCUGUCCUGUGUUAAUGAAAGGUUUGAUUUUGAUGGCCACCUAGUUUUUAAUAACCUCAAGUAGUUCUAGACUCUUAAAUGAUGGUUAGAUUUCUGAAAUGUAUAAAGGAUUUGAUUGUUCAGUUGAGUUCUUUGUACAUAGAUAGUGCCACUUUAUUGUAAUCUUUGUUUACUUAAAUAUUAGGUGUUUUGUGUAUGUUAUGGUAAGUUUUUGUUGAAUUAUCCUGUUUUCGGGUUACAUAAUUUUAAUUAUUGUUUAGGUCUGAUGAUGCUCUAGUCGAGCGAAACAUGUAACCUUCGUUAUUUUAUUAAAUGUAUUUGUGAUGCUGUAGAUUUCGUGUUUUUUACCUUUUAUAAAAGUAACAUUGAAAGUUACUGGAUUUAUACAGGUAUAAUGUGUGUAUGGAAAUUAAUUGAUUAAAAGUUUGUAAGUUUACUUGUGACUGACAGGGCGCAUUUAUUGGCCUGCUCGUUCACCAGAUCUAACAGCGUGUGAUUUUUUACUGUGGGGCUAUUUUUAUCUUAGUAAGUGAUUUAACUUUGCAAUCUCGGAUGCUAAACCCAUAGUUGGUAGAGUUAAGACGGUUCGAAAGAGGGUUCAUAGCAAGACAGAACCAUAAUGGGCUCAGUGAGUCCCCUUGGAAGAUUCCUGUUCGAAUUGGAAAGUUGUUUGUACUUACUGUGCUUUACUGGAUCGUUGUUCUCCAACUUGUCGUAGCGCUCUCUAGAAAAGACAAAGUAUUACCAUCAACUUUAUACACUUUUAAAAUGUUUAUAAGCCAUUCGUGUGGUACUGAGUCGAAGGCUUUCUUAUAGUCGACGUAGGCAAUAAAAAUAUUUCUCUUGUUGUGAUAUGCCUGGUUGUUGAUGACAGUUGUUGUUCUUAUAUUAUUAUUAUUAUUAUUAUUAUUAAUUAACAAAUAGCUAUCGCCUGCCGUUACUGAAGUAAUAAAAUAAAAUCAAUUACUCCCAAAUAAUUAAUUUUUAAUUUGAAACCUUCCUUUUAUAUUUUAUGUUUACAUUUACAUUAACAUUUACUUUAGUAUUUAUGUUUACAUUUUCACAUUAUAAUUGGGAUUUAGGGAAAUUCAG